RNAcentral lists this ribosomal RNA (323 nucleotides) under Sandonidae sp. RNAcentral describes it as "SSU rRNA". The stretch from base 112 to 323 matches the Rfam family "Eukaryotic small subunit ribosomal RNA", at positions 743 to 955 of the family's 1831-position model. Lineage: Eukaryota; Cercozoa; Glissomonadida; Sandonidae. The record is from RNAcentral.
GAUUUCUGGCUUGCUACCUUUGGCCGGCCACGGUUUCGUGUGUCAGUGCCACAGGUUCUAGCCAUCCUUCCAGUCGUGCCUCGUCUACUCUUCACUGAGUGGACGACAGGGCUGGAUCGUUUACUUUGAAAAAAUUAGAGUGUUUCAAGCAGGCUCAAUGCUAUGAAUACAUUAGCAUGGAAUAAUAAUUUAGGACUUCGGUUCUAUUUUGUUGGUUUCUAGGACUGAAGUAAUGAUUGAUAGGGAUAGUUGGGGGUGCUAGUAUUCAGCGGCCAGAGGUGAAAUUCUCGGAUUCGCUGAAGACUAACUUAUGCGAAAGCAUU